RNAcentral lists this long non-coding RNA (3396 nucleotides) under Homo sapiens (human). Its description in RNAcentral is "HSALNT0102165". The record is from RNAcentral. Lineage: Eukaryota; Metazoa; Chordata; Mammalia; Primates; Hominidae.
AUUUUUUCCAACUUUCUUACUGCAUUUAGCACUUUAUACUAUGUAUUCUGGUUCUGUAUGUGCAUCCCUUACUUCUUCCAUUAAUCUGAGAGGUCAUAAAAAUUACAUAAUUUGCAUUUACCACAGGGCUUGGCCAUGGACUUGCAUAUCAUUGCUGAGAGAAGUCUCAACAGCAGCUUAAGUACUAUUGAAGACCUCAAGAUGACAAAUUUUCUCCAUCACUUCUAAGGCUGAAUUGUCAUAUCCAAUGUGCUUUAUGACUAUGCUUUGAUUUGUGCUGAUGGAUCUAAGGUGUGCACCUCUGGAGGCUUUGAGGUGGCUAUACUUCAGUUGUGGAUAAAGAGGUGAAGAAGGACAUCUAUGGUGAUGCUCAGUAAUAUCUGCGAAGAACUGUGGAGACAGACAAAUAGUCAAAGGAGAAUACAGAUGACUUUCAGAAGAAGUGUGAACAUCAAGCUGAGGAGCUUUUUUGAAGAGCAGGAUCUUUCUAUCAACAUGGGAUAGUGGAAGAUUAAAGUAGUGAUGACUACAUAUAGAAAUACAAAGUUGAAGUGAGAGACGCAAGUCUGAUACUGCAAAAGAAAAAUGACACAACAAGAAGAUGGUUGUCUACAAGCCAGGAAGAGAACCUUCACAAGGAACCAAAUCAGCGGGCACCGUGAUCACGAGACUCCCAGCCUCCAGAACUGUGAGAAAUAAAUGUCUGCUGUUGAAGCCAUCCAGUCCACAGUAUUUUGUUACAGCAGCCUGAGCAGAUUAAAAUAAAGAAAUGUAACUUGUGAGAUAGACAGAAAGGUAAGAAAGAGAAAAUGCAACAUAAAGUCUAUGCUUAAAGGAGCGCUUAUUAGUAGUUAAGAUGAGCUAGGCAAAAUAUAAAUGGUAGAGAAAUGAAAGAUGACAACACUCAUAACUUGCUCAUUCAUGCAACAGAUACGUGCAGAGUAUCUAUUGAAGGACCCUGCACUGGUACUUAGGAAUCAAACUUAAAUCCCACCUUCAAAUCUGACAGAGAUAAGACAUAGACAGACUGUUUUUUAUUUGGGUAAAUUAUUCAUACCCAUUAAAAGAUCUGUAGAUAAAUGCCUUUGGAUUUCUAAGAGGGGAGAUAUUAUUUUCAACUGGGAGAAACACAGGAAUAUCAUUUUAUGUACUAAGUAGCAUUUGGUGUAGAGCUUAUAGAGAAAUAGAAUGUUCACAUGGAGAGAAUGCUGUAUGGGGAACUCCAGAUGGAAUAAUUGGUAUUAGCUCUGGUCCCAGAGUAGUGACUAUCUUUGCAGGAAACCUCAGGUGUAAUCUUAUGGACCUCUGGAAAGACUGUAACAAAAUAACUAUUUAUGGAGAUGACUGGCAAAGUUAAGGACACGGACAAGGGACAUGAGGGGCCUAGGGACAGGCAACAGUGAGAAGUCACUCCUAGGAAAGAGUGUUCAGGGAGCCAGUGAAGAGUGUAGCCAUGUAGAAAGAAUGGCCUGACAGAGCAUUCAUCCUAGAGGGAUGCAGCUGCUGCAAGAGCCAUGAUGCUGAUGCAGGAGGAGAAGAGGGAGACAGAAGGAGACAGGAAGAGACAGGAGGAAAAGCCUCAGCCUCUCCCUUCCCACUCUCCAACCUCCCUGCUUGAACGCUCACCAGCUGAUCCCAACAAGAAACACAGUCAGUAGGAACAGCUCUGGAGCACAGCUUGAGGUAGAAAAUGGAGCAGGGUAGGGACCAAGUGGAAAAUAAUUGCCAUAGCUACUGAGACAGGAGAGAAGAAAAUGUGUAUAUGAGAAAACAGUUUGUUUUGGCUAGAAUAAAUGAUGCAUGAGGGCAAAAAGCCAGAGUGUGCUUAUAAAAGUAAGUGGUAGCUGAAACUCAUCAGAAUAAUGACAAAAUAAAGGGAAACGAAAAGACGUAUGAAUCUGGUGCUUAACUCAUCAGGGAUGUUUGGCGCCUUUCCUGGAAAUUACAGAUAAAAGCAACAGGAGUGGAGAGAAAUGACAUCAGAACAUAAGAGGUACCACAAAAUAUGAGUUAGUUUUUAGAAAUGUGAAUGUAGCAGUGGCCAAGAAGAGGCAGUAGAGAGAAAGCAGUACUCUGAUUCCUCCAUCUCACUCAAUGAGGUGAACAGGAAGAAUGCCAUUUAUUUUCUCGGACAAAGGCAGCAUAGUCUUUAGACACUUGCUUGGAUCAGGAGGGACAGGCUACUUCCAUGAUUUGGGUCAUUGUGAGGGAAGUAGUUAAGAAAAAAAAAAGAAGGACAGGAGAUAAGGGAACUAUUUGCGGGACUAGUAGAAAGAAGGCAGCAGUGAGAGCAGGGACAGGUGGAACAGAGCUAAAGAGGAAAGAGAGAAGGAAAAGGGAUGGCAGGGGAUGGUGAUUUUUAAUGGCAGGAUCAGAGAGUCACGUUGUCGGAAAGUUGAACAAAUAUAUAUUAGCCCCUGUGGGAAUUCUAGAGAGGAAAACCAGCCAUGAGACCUUUCUAAGUAUAUACUCUUAAGAGAAAUAUUGAUGUAGUAUUCAACCUCAGAGGUUAAGGAAUAGUGGGUUUCAGGAAGGACCUGGAGGGUGGUCAGCUGCACACGUAGAGGUGUGCUGCAGCCAGCUUGUACCAGCUCCUGAGAAUCAAUUGUGCACAUCUCUUUCCAACUCUGGGCUCUGUGGCUUCACAUAAACACCAAAAUAUGUCAUGGUAGGUGUAGUUCUACCCAUAGAAACUGGCAAAUGCUACAGAUGAGGGUUCCCUUCUCACAAAGUCAACUAUCAACCCCAGAGCCUCUUAUUAAACCUUUACCAGCACACCACUGAUCUGCUGCAGCUUCAAUUUGAGGACAGGUUGUUGCAAUGAGCACUGAGGAAGGUGUUGCAUGAGAACAUGUUCAUGAAAGAAGCAGCACCCUCUGCCAAAGAUCACCGGGUGAGUGUGUGCUGAGCAGGUGCAGGCAUGGUCCUCCUUAAAAGACUGGAAUCAGAGGCUGCUCAUUGAUUAGAACUACAUUUUGAUCAAGCUGAGAGAAUUCCAGGUGAUACAACCUGGAAUAAGCUAAGCAAAUAAAAAUAAGUCAUCAACAACCUGUCAGGCAUGCGGAAUUCAGUGAAUAGAAAAUUAACCCAUUCCUCUGAACUAAGCAAUGCUUGAUUUAGCUUCAGUGAGCCUUACAAGUGGAAGCUGGCACUUUCUUCCUGUUUGUUUGUAUCUACUGCAAGAAGUAAAAAUACAUACCACCUACCUGAAGCCUGUCAUGGUACUUGUGUUUCUGUAGGAAUAUUUUCUACAACAUCUUAAGUUACUGCUAGAAAUUGCCAGCAAUUGUGUCUGUGUUUUCCCAUUUUUGAAAGAAAUUAAUACUCUCAAUGCCUUAGAGUUGCUCCUUCCCACCUUCUGAUGCCUUGUCCUGGGCUUAGUGGAUGUAAAUUAAC